CCUACGGGAGUCAGCAGUGGGGAAUAUUGCACAAUGGGGGAAACCCUGAUGCAGCGACGCCGCGUGAGUGAAGAAGUAAUUCGUUAUGUAAAGCUCUAUCAGCAGGGAAGAAAAUGACGGUACCUGAGUAAGAAGCCCCGGCUAACUACGUGCCAGCAGCCGCGGUAAUACGUAGGGGGCAAGCGUUAUCCGGAUUUACUGGGUGGAAAGGGAGCGUAGACGGCAGUGCAAGUCUGGAGUGAAAGGCGGGGGCUCAACCCCCGGACUGCUCUGGAAACUGUACGGCUGGAGUGCAGGAGAGGUAAGUGGAAUUCCUAGUGUAGCGGUGAAAUGCGUAGAUAUUAGGAGGAACACCAGUGGCGAAGGCGGCUUACUGGACUGUAACUGACGUUGAGGCUCGAAAGCGUGGGGAGCAAACAGGAUUAGAUACCCUAGUAGUC
Molecule: ribosomal RNA, 440 nt
Filed under: uncultured bacterium
Lineage: Bacteria
Description: partial 16S ribosomal RNA
Rfam family: Bacterial small subunit ribosomal RNA
Source: RNAcentral